RNAcentral lists this ribosomal RNA (459 nucleotides) under Methylophaga muralis. Its description in RNAcentral is "bacterial SSU rRNA". It matches the Rfam family "Bacterial small subunit ribosomal RNA", at positions 30 to 484 of the family's 1533-position model. Lineage: Bacteria; Pseudomonadati; Pseudomonadota; Gammaproteobacteria; Thiotrichales; Piscirickettsiaceae. The record is from RNAcentral.
AUUGAACGCUGGCGGCAUGCCUAACACAUGCAAGUCGAACGAUGAUUAAGAGCUUGCUCUUAUGAUUAGUGGCGGACGGGUGAGUAAUGUAUAGGGAUCUGCCUGUUAGUGGGGGACAACAGCCGGAAACGGCUGCUAAUACCGCAUACGCUCUACGGAGGAAAGUGGGGGACCCUCGGGCCUCACGCUAACAGAUGAACCUAUAUUGGAUUAGCUAGUUGGUAGGGUAAAGGCUUACCAAGGCGACGAUCCAUAGCUGGUUUGAGAGAAUGAUCAGCCACACUGGGACUGAGACACGGCCCAGACUCCUACGGAGGCAGCAGUGGGGAAUAUUGACAAUGGGCGCAAGCCUGAUCCAGCAAUGCCGCGUGUGUGAAGAAGGCCUUCGGGUUGUAAAGCACUUUAAGUUGGGAGGAAAAGCUAAGGGUUAAUAGCCUUUAGUGUUGACGUUACCAACAG